AAGAACGCUGGCGGGAUGCCUAACGCAUGCAAGUUGAACGAUUUAGAUCGUAGCGUACGGGUGAGUAGAAUCUAGGAAUCUAGCAAAAGAAGUAUCGAAAUGAUUCAAGAUAUAAAUCGUCUUUUGAUGAGCCUAGAAAGGAUUAGGUAGUUGGUUAGGUAAAGGCUGACCAAGCCGACGAUCCUUAGUUGAUUUGUGAGAAUGAUCAGCCACCUUGGGAAUGAGAGAAGGCCCAGACGGGGAAGCUCGGCAGCAGCGCGGAAUUUUGGACAAUGAGGGCAACCUUGAUCUAGCAAUCUCGCGUGGAGGACGGACAGCUAAAAUGGUUGUAAACUCCUUUCGCUAAGAAAGAAAGUGACGUUACUUAGUAAAGAAGCUCCGGCAAAUUCCGU
RNAcentral lists this ribosomal RNA (392 nucleotides) under uncultured bacterium. RNAcentral's name for it is "bacterial SSU rRNA". It matches the Rfam family "Bacterial small subunit ribosomal RNA", at positions 31 to 506 of the family's 1533-position model. The record is from RNAcentral.